Molecule: RNA transcript, 2346 nt
Organism: Meriones unguiculatus (Mongolian gerbil)
Lineage: Eukaryota; Metazoa; Chordata; Mammalia; Rodentia; Muridae
Gene: Slc11a2
Gene name: solute carrier family 11 member 2
Exons: 19
Source: RefSeq, a predicted model, not a curated record
UGGGCGUCCUCUCCCGCGAGGGAGGCGCUCUAGGCCGCGUAUAUAAGGCUGCGCCUCCCCGGGCCGCCAGAGCAGCUCCGCACUAUGGGCAAGAAGCAGCCGAGGCCGGCGGCUGCUCCCAACUGUGAACUCAAGUCCUACUCUAAGAACACGGACACUCGGGUGUCUGCCAUGGUGCUGGAUCCUGAAGAAAAGACGCCAGACGAUGGCGCUUCUGGGGACCACGCAGACUCUGGCAGCCUUGGCGCCAUCAACCCUGCCUACAGCAACUCCUCCCUCCCCCUGUCCACCGGGGAUUCCGAGGAGCCCUUCACCACCUACUUUGAUGAGAAGAUCCCCAUCCCGGAGGAGGAGUACUCUUGUUUUAGCUUUCGAAAGCUCUGGGCAUUCACGGGACCUGGCUUCCUUAUGAGCAUUGCCUACCUGGAUCCAGGAAACAUCGAGUCUGACUUGCAGUCUGGAGCAGUGGCUGGAUUUAAGCUGCUCUGGGUGCUUCUGCUGGCCACCGUCGUGGGGCUGCUGCUCCAGCGCCUCGCAGCCAGACUUGGAGUGGUCACCGGCCUGCACCUUGCUGAAGUGUGUCACCGCCAGUACCCCAAGGUCCCUCGGAUCAUCCUGUGGCUGAUGGUGGAGCUGGCAAUCAUCGGCUCCGACAUGCAGGAAGUCAUUGGCUCGGCCAUCGCCAUCAAUCUCCUGUCUGCAGGAAGGGUUCCCCUGUGGGGCGGCGUCCUCAUCACCAUCGCAGACACCUUUGUAUUUCUGUUUUUGGACAAAUAUGGCUUGCGGAAGCUGGAAGCAUUUUUUGGCUUUCUCAUCACUAUUAUGGCCCUCACAUUUGGAUAUGAGUAUGUUACAGUGAAGCCCAGCCAAAGCCAAGUUCUCAGGGGCAUGUUCGUGCCGUCCUGUUCAGGGUGCCACACCCCGCAGGUGGAGCAGGCUGUGGGGAUCGUGGGAGCCGUCAUCAUGCCACACAACAUGUACCUGCACUCUGCCCUCGUCAAGUCUAGACAGGUCAACCGCGCCAACAAGCGGGAGGUCCGAGAGGCCAACAAGUACUUCUUCAUCGAGUCCUGCAUUGCGCUCUUCGUCUCCUUCAUCAUCAAUGUCUUCGUCGUCUCUGUCUUUGCUGAAGCAUUUUUUGGGAAAACCAACGAUCAGGUGGUUGAUGUCUGUAGAAACAGCAGCAGCCCCCACACUAACCUCUUUCCUGACGACAACUCGACCUUGGCUGUGGACAUCUACAAAGGGGGUGUUGUGCUGGGAUGUUACUUCGGGCCUGCGGCACUCUACAUCUGGGCAGUGGGCAUCCUGGCUGCAGGACAGAGCUCCACCAUGACCGGAACCUACUCUGGCCAGUUUGUCAUGGAGGGAUUCCUGAACCUAAAAUGGUCACGGUUUGCCCGAGUGAUUCUGACGCGCUCCAUUGCCAUCAUCCCCACUCUGCUUGUUGCUGUCUUCCAAGAUGUAGAGCAUCUGACAGGAAUGAAUGAUUUCCUGAAUGUUCUGCAGAGCUUACAGCUCCCCUUUGCCCUCAUACCUAUCCUGACGUUCACAAGCCUGCGGCCAGUUAUGAGUGAGUUUUCCAACGGAAUAGGCUGGAGGAUCGCAGGUGGCAUCCUGGUCCUUAUCGUCUGCUCCAUCAACAUGUACUUUGUCGUGGUUUAUGUCCAGGAGCUCGGCCACGUGGCACUGUACGUGGUGGCCGCAGUGGUGAGCGUGGCUUAUCUGGGCUUCGUGUUCUACUUGGGUUGGCAGUGUCUGAUUGCGCUGGGCAUGUCUUUCCUGGACUGUGGGCGCUCGUGCUACCUGGGGCUGACUGCCCAGCCUGAGCUCUACCUUCUGAACAACGUGGAUCUGGACCUGUUUGUGUCCAGAUGACCAGCGGCCCGGGACACUUUAAGAACACAAUCUGAGCACUCCGGUGCCAAGGACGCGUCAGCAAACCCGUUAGCUCCGGGUUCUGUUUCUCGGCACGUCCCCUGGGAGGCGAUUCUGGAGAAGAAAGGCUGAUGAUAAGACGACCCCUGUUUCACAGCUCAUACAGAGAGGAGCGAACACCUGCAACAGACAGGCAGCCACACGCCAGCAGUGCCCACGAGAAGCACGCCCUGACAUUGGUCCUCGUGUGUUCCUGAGACUGUCACAGCAUUGCAACAUGAAGGGACAAAGGAAUCCUCCCAGCAGCUGGGGUUCAUGCAGCAGCCGCAGAAUCAGGGGAUGAUGAAUCUUUUAGGUCAGUAUUUACAGGCCGAGCAUGUGCACACACCAACACAAACACUUCCAUAAAAAUGCAAAUUCUGUACAAACAGUUUUUAUUUAAAAACCAUAUUCUGAACUUGGGCCGUU